AGACUUUUAAAAUUCAAAGUUUUUUUGUUUUUAACAUAAAAACUUUGAAUUUUAAAAAUUUGAAGGCUUUUUGUUGCUACACAAAAAAAAUUCGAGUAACAAUUUUGGUUUAAAAAUCCGAAGUUUGAUGGACCAUCUUUUUUUGGUCAAAUAAGAACUUCAGAUUUGAGAAUCCAAUGUUGUUUUUUUCUUUUUUUGGACUUUUGAGGUAAAUUUUUAAUGGUCAAAAUUUUCUUUGUCAAAGUAAAAAUUUCGGAUUUUAAGAAGGCAAACAUAUCAAAGGCAAAAAUGCUGUAAAAGCGAAAUUAGAUUAAAAACUUAGCAUUCUCAACACCUAAAAUUAAGGCAUUUUGGGGUAAAUGGCGCAAAUUGGGUGUGUACAUAAUAAUAUUUCUAUCUCCCACAGCAUUAUGGUUGCCCACUGUCCUAUAUUCCAAGCCCCAUCCAUGCAUUCUAGUCCACUUUAUUCACAUCGAUCAGAGCCCUCUUUUGUCGCAAAUUAAGGAAUGUACUUCUUGGCUUCCUAUUUGGUGGAAAGCUCAUCGCCCGUGUAACAUGUGCUAUCAAUUAGGAAAUUAGGUAUGGGUGUGCUAAGUCUCGUAGAGUUAAUUUUAGGUAAUUAGAAUUACAAUUGGCUUCCCCAUGGUUCAUGACAUGUAUCACUAUGUUAGUUUAUGAAUAGUAAUGUAAGAUAUUGAUUUGGUUGAAAUUCGAUGUAAUAUUGAAAGUGUUUGAUGCAAUGCGUCACAAGUGUACGUAACUGAAUUUUGUUUAAGUAUGUAAUGAGUUGUAACCAUGCAAUCUCUCAUUAUUCAAUUGAAUGGAAAUUCAUGUUGG
Molecule: long non-coding RNA, 837 nt
Filed under: Amborella trichopoda
Lineage: Eukaryota; Viridiplantae; Streptophyta; Magnoliopsida; Amborellales; Amborellaceae
Description: long non-coding RNA (ATRI_LNC003982)
Source: RNAcentral